AUGAAUGGCCUCUGGGCCUUCAACCUUGCAAACCUGUGGAAAGCAACAUGUGCUUCGGCGCUUCGGCGCCGCUUUUAUGCUACGAAUCAGUCUUUGUGUCUGAAUCAAACAAAAGAAAUA
RNAcentral lists this unclassified non-coding RNA (120 nucleotides) under uncultured Archaeorhizomyces. Its description in RNAcentral is "sequence contains ITS1". Lineage: Eukaryota; Fungi; Ascomycota; Archaeorhizomycetes; Archaeorhizomycetales; Archaeorhizomycetaceae. The record is from RNAcentral.